UAGCCCGACAGCAAAAAACUAGUAUUUUUUCUUUCGGGCUUGUAGGAAAUCCAAUAUUACAAGCCCGACGUGCUUGUAAAAUUCAGAAAACAAAAAACGAGUUCCACUUUCAUUUUCAAUAUUUAUAAAUAAAGUUUUAAGCCGCUUAUAUCAACUGCCGCUUAUGUAUUUAACACAUUGCGCACAUGUGCUGCGCAAUCAGCCGAAGCACAUGGUUUUGUGGUUCCCGGAUUACUAUUAUGAAAAUAAAUGUUUUGCGUUGCGUUCGGUACACAGAGGGUGUAAUGGCCGAACAGUUAUUGAAAUACGUCGCGGGGGCGAAACCUGGAAAGCGAGCGCCAACUCAAGUUUCUAUUUUCUGGUGGUUUGCUCUCUCUUUUGCGAUACAAAAGAGUCUGGAUCAGAUGAGGAAGCUGACUUGGAGGUCGAUGAGGAUGAAAUAAAUCAGAGAGUUUUAAUGUAUUCUCAAGAUUGUUGAAUAAAUGAAUGCUUCUUU
This is a long non-coding RNA of Dreissena polymorpha, 496 nucleotides long. RefSeq lists it as uncharacterized. Lineage: Eukaryota; Metazoa; Mollusca; Bivalvia; Myida; Dreissenidae. The transcript has 2 exons. The record is from RefSeq and is a predicted model, not a curated record.